AAAUAAAUGGACAAUUUUUAUGAUGUAGGCGGAAAAUGAGCUUCCCCUUUUUGAAAGACCAGCAGCCGCCACUGGUCAACGGUAAUUUUAUGUUU
This is a long non-coding RNA of Etheostoma spectabile (orangethroat darter), 95 nucleotides long. RefSeq lists it as uncharacterized. The record is from RefSeq and is a predicted model, not a curated record. The transcript is spliced from 3 exons. NCBI's taxonomy places the organism in Eukaryota, Metazoa, Chordata, Actinopteri, Perciformes, Percidae.